AGCGAACGUUUGCGGCGGGCCUAACACAUGCAAGUCGAACGAGAAUCUCUUCGGAGAGGACAGUGGCGCACGGGUGCGUAACACGUGGAUAACCAACCCCCUGGCUCGGGACAACACUGGGAAACCGGUGCUAAUACCGAAUGUGUCGGAGGUGUCAUCAGGCACCAUCGAGAAUGGCACGCAAGGGUCGCCAGGGGACGGGUCCGCGUCCCAUCAGCUAGUUGGUGAGGUAAUGGCUCACCAAGGCUAAGACGGGUAGCUGGUCUGAGAGGAUGAUCAGCCACACUGGAACUGAGACACGGUCCAG
This 307-nucleotide ribosomal RNA is filed under the name uncultured Plesiocystis sp. RNAcentral describes it as "bacterial SSU rRNA". It matches the Rfam family "Bacterial small subunit ribosomal RNA", at positions 29 to 334 of the family's 1533-position model. Lineage: Bacteria; Pseudomonadati; Myxococcota; Nannocystales; Nannocystaceae. The record is from RNAcentral.